AAUUGCUCUUCAUCUCUCAAGGCAGUGACCUGAUUGUGUUUCCACAGAAAAUCAACCGUCGGCUGCACUUGUCCAAAACAAAGCACAGCAAGUUCAAUGAGUCGGGCCAGCUGGCCACCUUCUACUCGCUCUCCUUCGUCUGGGGCUGCAGCAUCCUCACCAGUGUAAGAGAUCUGAUGCUACCCUGCUCUCAUCUGCACACAGACUAACUGACCGUUUCUCUAAUCAACAGGAGGAGUUUGUGACAAAUCCGACUUUUCUUUGGGAAGGUUAUCCUCAUAUCAACAUGGCGAUGUAAUUAAACUACUCCAACAACACUGAAAACUCCCAGCUCAGAUUACUCAAACUGUAACCUGUUUGUGUUAGUAUUUUUUCCAAGUGAAGUUUUUCUAUAUCUGUCAGAUUGCCUACUGGUUCCAUGCUCUUCCGGAGCUGU
This is a long non-coding RNA of Sinocyclocheilus grahami, 436 nucleotides long. RefSeq lists it as uncharacterized. The transcript is spliced from 3 exons. NCBI's taxonomy places the organism in Eukaryota, Metazoa, Chordata, Actinopteri, Cypriniformes, Cyprinidae. The record is from RefSeq and is a predicted model, not a curated record.